Molecule: RNA transcript, 3098 nt
Organism: Prosopis cineraria
Lineage: Eukaryota; Viridiplantae; Streptophyta; Magnoliopsida; Fabales; Fabaceae
Gene name: phosphatidylinositol/phosphatidylcholine transfer protein SFH10-like
Exons: 7
Source: RefSeq, a predicted model, not a curated record
ACUAAUGGUUUAUUGCUGCUAGGUGCUGCAUUUUCACUUCUAAGAAUAGAAUAAACGGAAAACCGAGUAAAUCUCACUUUACUCUCUGGAUAUGACAAUUUGUUUAUCAACUACAUUCUACAAAUCUUGUAGAAAGAAGCUGAUUGGUCCAAAAAUUCUUGAAUCUCAUUGGUCACUCUAAUUUGAUUAUUUUUCAAUCUCUCCCUCAAAUUCAGUUUGCAUAUAUCCCGCUUAUUCAUUUCUGUCCUUAUUCAAUGUUAACUAUGUCGAAUUAUCAGGGGUUUUAUUUUUAAAUUUUAAUUUUUUAGUUAUCAAGCUUGAUUUAAGGUUAAUUGUGUUUUGUGAUUGGUUCGUUUUAUUGAAUAUUUUCCCAUCUUUUUUAUGGUUUUACGUGCUAUGCCCACUCCCUCCAACUUUCAAAUUUGACAUUAAUGCAUUGCAAUUUUCACAGGAGCAUUUACAAAGGUGUCUUGUGAAUCCAUGCCAGUAUGAGAGCACAGGUUAAUGACUAAAUUUUUCUUGGCCAUCUGUUUUUCAUUUUUGAUGUUUCACAAUUGUAUUUCUGAUCUCUUUAUUCUGAAGUUGCUUCAUUUUCCCAUGUUCAUGCACCUGAAACCUCCAUCAUCUCCCAACUUUCUCACAUCAUUUUCUCAUCCUAUAUCGUCUUUCCAGCACCCCCCCAAAUUGGACCUCAUCUUUGUCAAUGAUAGCCGUUAGAGCCAUUCCAAGAGGUAAAGCCACUCUAUUUAAUUUCCUUCGGCACUCAGGCUGAAUAGUGAUGAUUCCGGCUCUAUGUUUCUUCUUUUUACUUAUUUUGGUAUUCAUGAUUGUUUAUUACGAUUUUAUACAAUUUUCUAUUUUGGCAAAUGCUGAGCAAAUAAAGUUGUUUUGAAACUGAGUUCGGUGGUGAGCUUUAUUUGGCAUAUCUAAGGAAUGUGAUAUCGAGGAUGAAGAAAUGAACAAUGGUAAUAUCCAAAUCAAUGAGUGGAGAUGCUAAUUAGGCUAUGGGAAUUGGUGAUGGAACUCUUAUUGGCUAUUUUCUAGCGUAGCAUUUGGAGAAGAUUUCUAAAUCUUGCAGAGGUUUCUGUUUCUAAAUCUUGUGAACUGGAACAUUGUGAGAAGCAACGAACUGUGUGAAAUCACUCUUCUUCUUCUUCUUCUUCUUCUUCUUUUUUAACUCAACAAUUAAGCAAACAAAGUUCAUUUGCAAUUUUGCUGGAACAUGUGCUGAAUGCUAUUAAUUGCACGGAACAUUGUGCUAGAAGUCAGUCUUCCAAACAAAGUUGAUAGGGGUACACUGAUAAUAAUAAGCCUUUACUGAGAAAGACAAGGAGAAAAGUUAGUCUGAAGACAAGGAGAAAAGGCAUAAUAAGCAUAAGAACAGGGACAGAGAGAAGGACAAGGAGCAUAAGAAGCACAAGCAUUGCCAUAAAGACCAAAGCAAAGAUAAAGACAAGGAAAAAAGGAAAGAAAAAAGUGGGCAUCAAGUUUCCAAUGCCAAUCAUGGCAAGAAACACCAUGAAAAGGCUUUGAGGAUUCUCUAGCAGUGAUGAAAAACAGGAUAGGAGAUUUGAUUUUGAGAACUCAGAGGAUGAAAGAUGGAUAAGAAAUGGUUCUCUCGAAAAGAAAGCAAUUAAUGCGCCUACCAAAUUCAAGCUCUUAAGAAAAAGAGUGGCAAGAGAAAAAGUGAUGGUGAGAUUAGAUCGGUUUCUAUUGAGGAUGUUCGGGAUGUUGAGGAACUAUAGGCUGUUAAUGCCUUCAGAUAAUCAUUGAUCGUGGAUGAAUUGCCCCCAGAAAAACAUGAAGGUUACCACAUGAUGUUAAGGUACUUAAAAAGCAAGGAAAUAUGAUAUUGAAAAGGCAAAGCGCAUGUGGGCUGAUGUCCUCAUAUGGAUGAAAGAUUUUGGUGGUGACACCAUUAUGGAGGCAAUAUAGAUAUUACAUGCAAAAUAUUUACUUGACUUCCGCCUCUAAAAAUUUAGGGGAUAAGACUUGAACUUUGAGUACUUGAUAUUUUCUACACCCUUCAUGCUUAAUUUUUUGUUUUAAUUAGGAUUUUGAGUACAAGGAGUUAAAUGAGGUUCUGGAGUAUUACCCUCACUGUCAUCAUGGUGUUGUUAAGGUGGGAAGACCAGUUUAUAUUGAAAGACUUGGAAAGGUUGAUCCAAACAAAUAAACUUAUACAAGUUACAACUUUGGAUAGAUAUGUAAAGUACCAUGUCCAAGAGUUUGAGAAAAUCUUUGCAAUUAAGUUUCCUGCAUGCCUACACCAUUGCUGCCAAGAGGCACAUAGAUUCAAGCACCACAAUCUUAGAUGUCCAUGGCGUCAUUACUUUCUAAUAAUUGUUCCCUGCUAAAGUUGCUGUCAAAUUAUUUCUUAUGACAUCUAUUAUUAGGGUUUGGAGAACUUUACAAAGUCUGCUCGGGAACUCAUAAUGGGACUACAAAAGAUUGAUGGAGAUAAUUACCCUGAGACUCUUUGCCAAAUGUUUAUCAUAAACUCUGGCCUGGAUUCAAGCUACUGUGGAACACUGGCAAAACUUUUAUUGAUUCCAAAACAACUUCUAAAAUUUAUGCAUGCAAAAAUGCAGCCUUCUAGCAGAUGCCUGAUUUUCUUGGAGGCACCUGCAAUUGUGCAGAUCUGGGAAGUUGCCUUAGAUCCGACAAAGGGCCUUGGAAGAACCCUAAAAUAUUGAAGGAAAUAUGCUUUUAUAGAAUACAUUGUUGAUUCAUUACCGUUGAUUGUUUUGGUAGUUUUUAUACAACGUCAGUUGGACUUUACUUAUGAGGCAUUCAAAAUGAUUUGUCUCCACGUACUCAGUUGUUUUCAUGCUUGUGCCCCAUGAGGUAUGGAGAAAGACGGGGUCCAUUACCAUUUUGCUGAACGAAGUGCCAUGGAGAAAGAUAUCAAAGAUGGCAAGUUUCUUGAAUUUGCUUCUGUUCAUGGCAAUCUCUAAGGGGCAUUGAGGAUGUUGAACUCAAUGAAGUUGAUUUUUGUUCUUUGAUGAUUGGUUUCUCAAUGUUUGUGGAUGCCCAGGCUCCAAAAAUUGGGGAGUCAUUUUCAACUAAAUCAAAAUUUUGAUAUUAUCGUCUCCUCA